Molecule: long non-coding RNA, 1891 nt
Organism: Cyprinus carpio carpio
Lineage: Eukaryota; Metazoa; Chordata; Actinopteri; Cypriniformes; Cyprinidae
Source: Ensembl
UAUUUGUCACAAUAUACUAAGCCAUACUGUCUAAAAACAUUAAGGCAAAUGCAAGUAAGUUUCUCAUAAACAAAACGAGCGUUUUAACGUUUAGAAUUGGCAUUAAUUCCAGAUGACCACUAGGGGUCAUUGUAUCUGUUUCAUGUUUCUUUGGACAGUAUUAUGAAGCUUUGCCCUGUGGUUUUUUUUUUUUUUGUAAACCUUGUCUUCCUCUUUUUAUUGUCAUGUGAUUCAUUAUCUUCAGUAUAAAUAGCCCAGUGUUGGUUCUGGACUUUGUCUAGUGUUGUACCUGUAUGAUCAUGUUUUCUGGUUAAGCUGCCAUGGAUACUGUGAAGACUUUCCUCACUAUCCUUUAUGUGCUUCUAUACAGCGGUUUCUGCUCAGAAAUGAAUUGUAAUGAUGGAGAAUGUAAACCCGUUAAGGACACCACACAAGUAUUCUUGUCAAGGAGCUGAAGGACUACACACAAGAAAUAGUUGAGUCUGUCCAACAUGACAUCCAGUGGUCACAAAUAGCUGUGAAAUACAGCAAUGUGAUUCAUAAAUUUAGAAACAUCAGCACAUUACAUACACAACUUAAAAAUGGUACAAUAACCCAACGCCACUAUGUGUCUGAAGUUGGAGCUCAGUUCACAGGGGGAAACUCUUUUCAGUUUCAUCUCACAGACUUUCACCACAUGAUGAUGGGCACUGGAUUUGGAGACAAACACAACAUUCUGGAUAUUUUUCACAAGUCGCUGGUCCAGGACUCCCAAAAACAGUCUGCUGAGCCAGUAGAGUGCACAAAAUACUACACUGACCAGAUUGAUUAUUUUGUGCGCUACAUGUUUGCCCUUGAAAAGGAAGCUGUUUUAGCUUGGUCGAAAUAUUUAAUGGUCACUGGAAAAUCAGAGAACUUUGAUUUUGUUGAGAAGGUUUUUAAGGACUAUGUCUCACAGCAGUGGAGACUCUUCAAUAAAAAUGGAUGUGGCCCUCUAAAGGCUGCAGAUCUUCAGAACAACCAUUGCAAGGAGCAGUACCACAGCACAGCCCAGCAGCAGGUGAAAAUUAAAUGUGGUGGAUUAUUGAAGCCCUUCCCUGAGUCUGUGGGGUGUUCUGGAGGACAGUGGAGCGCUUUACCUGUGUGCUACUCUGAGCAGGUAAAUGGGCGAGUUGAGUGCAAAUCUGAAGGUGGAGUCACCGUCUGUAAGGCCUCAUGCUCGCCUGGCUGGGUCUCCGCCACACACCCUCUGCCUGCUGAGUAUAAAUGCUCACAGCCGCCCUGCCCAUCCUUCACACCACACACGUGUGACAACUGCACACAGAACAGUGUGUGUAAGGACCAUGAGGUCUGCACUGGCUCCAUUGGCACAUGUCUUGAAACAUGCCUGGUUAAACCCUGUGGAGUGAACGCCAAAUGCUCGUCCUCCAAUCAUGACAGGAGCUGCACUUGUGUGAGCCCGUGGAAAGGAGACCCAUACCAAGGCUGCAGGAGUCAAGACCUCCAGUGGGUUCAGACCGAAGGAGUGCCCAGCAAUGCUGUUCGUUCUAAUGCCCAACUUGUGGUAUGCAAAGCCAUUGGACCUGACAGCGGGUGGCACAGUGGGUUUGUAAAGGAUCAACGCUGUAAUUAUGAAUAUGAUGGAAGAAAGCAUCAGGCCAAUAGCUAUGAGGUUCUGGUUGAUCCGUGUGGAGGAAGUGGUUGGAAAUGGAUGGAGGGGGAACAGCAGAACAUGGUCUCAUAUGAUGAAUCAAAGAGGUUUCCUGGAGUCAAAUACUAUGUGUGCAGUGGGAAAAGUGAUGACCUUGUAGGGAAGCUUUUCAACACGCGACAAGGAUUUAUGUGCCAUAUUGCCAAGGACAAUACCAGAGAUGGAAGUUUCUAUGCUCUGGUUCCACAACCAUGUAUCUGA